RNAcentral lists this transfer RNA (74 nucleotides) under bacterium. RNAcentral describes it as "tRNA-Arg". It matches the Rfam family "tRNA". From Rfam's summary of the family: Transfer RNA (tRNA) molecules are approximately 80 nucleotides in length. The record is from RNAcentral.
GCGCCCAUAGCUCAAUUGGAUAGAGCAUCUGACUACGAAUCAGGAUGUUGGGGGUUCAAGUCCCUCUGGGCGCG